This 773-nucleotide ribosomal RNA is filed under the name uncultured Neocallimastigales. Its description in RNAcentral is "partial large subunit ribosomal RNA". The stretch from base 4 to 663 matches the Rfam family "Eukaryotic large subunit ribosomal RNA", at positions 24 to 664 of the family's 3401-position model. The record is from RNAcentral. Lineage: Eukaryota; Fungi; Neocallimastigomycota; Neocallimastigomycetes; Neocallimastigales.
GUACACGCUGUGACUAGCAUAUCAAUAAGCGGAGGAAAAGAAACUAACAAGGAUUCCCUCAGUAACGGCGAGUGAAGCGGGAAGAGCUCAAAUUUGAAAUCUUGAAAGGUCACCUUUCACGAAUUGUAGUUUAAAGAAGUGUUUUCUGUUACGAUCGUAAUAUAAGUUCUUUGGAAUAGGACAUCACAGGAGGGUGAGAAUCCCGUCUAUGAUUGCGAUUUGUAGCUUUGUGAUACACUUUCAAAGAGUCGGGUUGUUUGGGAAUGCAGCCCAAAACGGGAGGUAAAUCUCUUCUAAGGCUAAAUAUUGGCGAGAGACCGAUAGCGAACAAGUACCGUGAGGGAAAGAUGAAAAGAACUUUGAAAAGAGAGUUAAAUAGUACGUGAAAUUGUCAAAAGGGAAGCGUUUAACAGCCAGUGUUGUUUUCUGAAAAUCAACCUCUGUUAGCUUUAUGCAUGUUUGUUUAGACCUAAUCAGCUAUCUUGCAUGUUCUAUUGUUUGCAGUGGUGCACUUUUCAGUUUACAGGUCAACAUCAGUUUUUUUUACCGUAAAAAAGUUAAAGAAAGGUAGCUCAUGGCUCCGGUCGUGAGUGUUAUAGUCUUUUUCCUAUGCGGUAGGAGAGACUGAGGUCUGCAGUGUAGGCUAUUUGGCUAGAUACUCAGGUGCUAUGUGAUACCAUUUCAUAAACAACUUGUUGAUUAUGUUUUGUCUAUUGCAUACUCGCUUGUACUAUCAUACCUACGCUUAGGAUGUUGAGUAGCGACAUACGCAC